AGAAAGAUCCCCUGGGAUCUUGUUAAAAUGCAGGUUCUGAUUCAGCAGGUCUGAGGUAGAGACAUAGUCUGAACAUCUGAUAAGCUUCUGAGUGAUGAUGAU
RNAcentral lists this microRNA precursor (102 nucleotides) under Marmota monax (woodchuck). Lineage: Eukaryota; Metazoa; Chordata; Mammalia; Rodentia; Sciuridae. The record is from RNAcentral.